UGAGGAAUAUUGGUCAAUGGGCGCGAGCCUGAACCAGCCAAGUAGCGUGAAGGAUGACUGCCCUACGGGUUGUAAACUUCUUUUGUUUGGGAAUAAAUGAUACUACGUGUAGUAUUUUGCAUGUACCUUACGAAUAAGCAUCGGCUAAUUCCGUGCCAGCAGCCGCGGUAAUACGGAAGAUGCGAGCGUUAUCCGGAUUUAUUGGGUUUAAAGGGAGCGUAGGCGGGCUGUUAAGUCAGCGGUAAAAUUUCCGGGCCCAACCCGGUCCUGCCGUUGAAACUGGCGGUCUUGAAUGCACACAAGGGAGAUGGAAUUCGUCGUGUAGCGGUGAAAUGCUUAGAUAUGACGAAGAACUCCGAUUGCGAAGGCAGUCUCCUGGGGUGCUAUUGACGCUGAGGCUCGAAAGUGCGGGUAUCAAACAGG
Molecule: ribosomal RNA, 423 nt
Filed under: uncultured prokaryote
Also listed under: 1 other name
Description: bacterial SSU rRNA
Rfam family: Bacterial small subunit ribosomal RNA
Source: RNAcentral